AGAGUUUGAUCAUGGCUCAGAAUCAACGCUGGCGGCGUGCCUAACACAUGCAAGUCGCACGAGAAAGUGGAGCAAUCCAUGAGUAAAGUGGCGCACGGGUGAGUAACACGUGACUAACCUACCCUCGAGUGGGGAAUAACCUAGAGAAAUCUGGGCUAAUACCGCAUAACACUUACGAGUCAAAGCAGCAAUGCGCUUGAGGAGGGGGUCGCGGCCGAUUAGCUAGUUGGCGGGGUAAUGGCCCACCAAGGCGAUGAUCGGUAUCCGGCCUGAGAGGGCGCACGGACACACUGGAACUGAAACACGGUCCAGACUCCUACGGGAGGCAGCAGUGGGGAAUUUUGCGCAAUGGGGGAAACCCUGACGCAGCAACGCCGCGUGGAGGAUGAAAUCCCUUGGGAUGUAAACUCCUUUCGAUCGGGACGAUUAUGACGGUACCGGAAGAAGAAGCCCCGGCUAACUUCGUGCCAGCAGCCGCGGUAAUACGAGGGGGGCAAGCGUUGUUCGGAAUUAUUGGGCGUAAAGGGCGCGUAGGCGGUCUGACAAGUCUGAUGUGAAAUCUCUGGGCUCAACCCAGAGUCUGCAUUAGAGACUGUCGGGCUUGAGUAUGGGAGAGGUGAGUGGAAUUUCCGGUGUAGCGGUGAAAUGCGUAGAUAUCGGAAGGAACACCUGUGGCGAAAGCGGCUCACUGGACCAUAACUGACGCUGAGGCGCGAAAGCUAGGGGAGCAAACAGGAUUAGAUACCCUAGUAGUCC
This 756-nucleotide ribosomal RNA is filed under the name uncultured bacterium. RNAcentral describes it as "bacterial SSU rRNA". It matches the Rfam family "Bacterial small subunit ribosomal RNA", at positions 8 to 796 of the family's 1533-position model. The record is from RNAcentral.